Molecule: long non-coding RNA, 1528 nt
Organism: Medicago truncatula (barrel medic)
Lineage: Eukaryota; Viridiplantae; Streptophyta; Magnoliopsida; Fabales; Fabaceae
Exons: 3
Source: RefSeq, a predicted model, not a curated record
UUAGAAAGUUUGGAGGGAGAAAGAGAAAUAAGAUAAAAUAGAUGGAGGAGAUAUAAAUAAGGGAAGAUCUAAGUUUAGAAGGAGAAUUGUACCUACGAUCAAUUUGGAGAAAAGGGAGAAAAAGCCAAAGAGAGGAGCAAGAGACCUAGAGGCUGCGGUUUUCAUCUAAUAAGAUAAGGGUGAGACUAACUCUGCAAUUCUAUUAAGUAUAUGAUUCAUAUGAUUAGAUUUAACAAGUAUAGGAUUGAUUUUAGAGAAUUUGGGAAUUAGUGUUGAGAAUUGUAAUUGAUUGUUAAUAGAUUUGAGAACCCCUUUGAAUUUGCAUACAGUAGAUUGAUGAAUAAUUGGUGUUCUAAUGAUAGGUUAAUCAUAGGGUAAUGAUUAUGGUCAAGUUUGAAGAGUAUUGGAUCGAAAACAGAGUCGAAAAGAUUUCCCCAAGGCGAAAUCGCAGCUGAACUGCGAUUUUGCUGUCAGUGUGCAAAACGCGUUUUUAUUGUCUCAGUUUGACAAGUUUAAGUUCCGAACUGGGUUUAGGUGUCUUCACGAAAGUUGUAGGUAUGGAUGUUAGCUUUCUAAUACCGUUGAUUUGACGUCUAAAUGAAUUAUAGAACUUGAGUUAUGGUCAAAUUACUGCAUGUAGGUCACAGUGAAUAUUUAUGAAUUUCAGCACAACCUUUCCCGAAUUUGAAAUGAAUACUGUAUUGAUAAAUACAUAAUUGGUCUUAGGUGUCUUCACAAAAGUUGUAGGUAUGGAUGUUAUCUGUCACUAGCCUUUGGAGGCACUCGAUUUAAGCACAUAGAACUCAAGACAUGAUCAAAAUACUACACAGAGGUCAGUAGGGAUCAACACGGUUGUGCUCUUUCCCUGAGCUUAGGAAAACCAACUUUUCUGAAAUUUUCUGUUUCGAAUUGUCCUUUGGUGUAAAUACGAAAGUUUUCGAUAAUUUUGCUAGCUUCCCAAUGACCUUGGUUUGACGUGAAAAUGAUUUUUGAUGUUUGAUUUAUGAUGAAAAUACACCAAGGAGGUCUUAGCGAAAUUGCACAGUGACAGCAUUCUUUGUUUCAUGUUCUUGCGUUUGUUUCACAUGUUUAAUGCAGGUUGAUAAAUUGAUAAUGCAGGUUGUGAUCAUGAAUUAUGUACACAGUGUACCUUGUACCCUUGUACCCUUGUUCCACAAACUCAACUUCAACAAGAACAAAUGGUCCCCCAGUUCAGGCCACGAACAACCUACGAAAAAGAUGUGAUACAAAAUCGAUUAUCUCAAGAAGAUUUGAAUGCGAGAAAUUCAAGAGAGGACAAAUGUGUUUAUGGCAAAUAUCAUGUUAGUGAUACAAAAUCGAUUAUCUCAAUAAGAUUUGAAUGAUAUUUUACAAGCUGCAAAACAGGCCACAGAUGGUGCUAGUGCUCCAAACCAGAUAAAUUCUUCAAGUUGAUGUAGUGAUGAAGACGGAAGAGAGGAAGAUUAGAAAUUGUUUUUAUCUUGGAUAUGUUUAUGCUCAUCUAAUGUUUUUUUGACGUCUAUUUUUG